Small nucleolar RNA from Arvicola amphibius (Eurasian water vole), 65 nucleotides. NCBI's taxonomy places the organism in Eukaryota, Metazoa, Chordata, Mammalia, Rodentia, Cricetidae. The record is from RefSeq and is a predicted model, not a curated record.
UUCCUGUAAUGAAUCAGACCAGCUCACUAUGACUGUCACUGAGAGCACAUGAACACCUGAGAAAC